AAACAGAGAGCACAACAAUAAACUACCAUCUCUUAAGUAUCUGCUAUACUCCAGGCCCAUUACACGUGUUGUUUAACAUCAUCAUCACAGCAGGCUGACCGGGUAGAUGUACUUAUCUAACUAGAAAUGGAACCUUAGAAUCUGAGAGGUUAAGUACUAGCAGAGAGUUCCCCAGAUAAAAAGUAGCGAUGGCAGGAUUUGAACCCAUGCCUGCUUGGCUCUCAUAGCCCAGGCCUUUCCUGCUGUAAUGUGUGGCCUUAUACUUGACUAAAUCUCCAAAAAACGUUUCUAGGUACCUGUCCUAAGCUGGUUACUUAAGAAUCACUCAGGAAACUUGUAAAAAUGUGUAUUUUUAAGCGCUCCCCCAGGGAGAAUGUCAUCACAGAUUUAGGUUUUUCCUUUCUCUUUCUUUCUUUGCAUUUCAUAUCCUCCCCCAUUACUUCAGCUGUUUAAGGGACUACAGUAAUCAAUACUUUUGUCUUUCAAACAUCUUAUACCUUAUACUUUUUCUUGAAAACACUGGCAAAUGCACAUUCAUUUUGUCAAGCCAGGGACCCCCGAGGUUCCCCAACAGACUGUUAUACAAUCAGCAACUCCCACUUGUUCCAACAAUAUACUUUUAUCCACUUAUUCUGCUGGGGUGUAAGAGUCAUCUUUAGGACACAGUUCACUGCUGGGAGAGGCCUCCCCUUGGGCAGGACUUGGCCCUGGGAGGGAAACAGAAGCAGAAAGCAGUGGAUUCCUGGGGUUUUAUUCAUCUAAUCAUUCAGUAAGUAAUAACUGAGUACUAUGUGGCAGGCAGGGGCGAGAUGUUGGGGAUGGAGUAAUCAUAAAACAAAGUCUCUGUUCUCAGGGGGUUUUGCAGAGGUGGGCACAGAAAGCCUGGCAUCUGAGCUGAGACCUGACAGAUGACAGAGUGAACCGUGAAUUGCUGGGGAAAAGCAUACCAGGCAGAGGGAACAGCGAGUGCAAAGACUCCCUUGGGGGAGUUUGAGGUAGUGCAAGAAGGCUAGUAUCCAGCAGGAAGCCUGGAGUGGAGUGUGCAAGAAGGAGCAAGUCAUAUUCUCUAACUGAAGAAGCCCAAACUGACCCGAGUGGAGAAACCAUAUGGAGAGACUGCAUGCAGGUGUUUUGGCUGAUGGCCCAGUCCAAGCCUAUAGCCAGCGUCGACCACUGGACAUGUGCGUGUCAGGAAGAAGUCGUUGAGACGACUUUAUCCCUAGCCACCAUCUGACUGCAGCCUCAUGAACAACCUCAAACAUUACCCAGGAAAGACGCAUCUGCAGUUCUGAGCUCUUCAAACUGGGGACGUGUAGCAGUGUGCUAGGGUUUCUACAAAGCUGCAGGAAAACCACGGUUCAUCACUCUGGAGCAUCAAUUUUACUCAGUGGACCAUUGUGCUGUGAAUAAGCCUGGCCUAGUCUUCUUGAGAAUGGAAGAACACAUCAAGAGAGAGGCCCAGCCAACCCAGCCAUAUCAGCAGAACCCAGGCCAGACUGCCAGCUGAAUGAAGCCACAGUGAGUGGCAGAAGAACCAUCCUACUAACUCAGAAAAUUAUGAGAAAUAAUACAUUGCUAUAGUUUUAAGUCGCUA
Long non-coding RNA from Herpailurus yagouaroundi (jaguarundi), 1594 nucleotides. RefSeq lists it as uncharacterized. The transcript is spliced from 4 exons. The record is from RefSeq and is a predicted model, not a curated record. Lineage: Eukaryota; Metazoa; Chordata; Mammalia; Carnivora; Felidae.